GGGUAACCUGCCCUAUGCUGGGGAAUAACCUCGGGAAACUGAGAAUAAUGCCCCAUAGUCCACCAUGCCUGGAACGGUUGGUGGAUCAAAGCUCCGGCGGCAUAGGAUGGGCCUGCGGCGUAUCAGGUCGUAGGGGGUGUAACGUACCCUCUAGCCAUCGACGCGUACGGGUGUUGGGAGACAUAGCCCGGAGAUGGAUUCUGAGACACGAAUCCAGACCCUACGGGGUGCAGCAGGCGCGAAAACUUGGCAAUGCGAGCAAUCGUGACCAGGGAACUCCAAGUGCUUAGGGUAAGACCUAAGCUUUUCUUGACUCUUCAAAGGUCUUGGAAUAAGGGGUGGGUAAGGACGGUGCCAGCCGCCGCGGUAAUACCGGCGCCUCAAGUGGUAGUCGCUUUUAUUGGGCCUAAAACGUCCGUAGCCGGUCUGGUGCAUUCGUGGGUAAAUCAACCCGCUCAACGGGUUGAAUUCUGCGAGCACGGCCAGACUUGGGACCGGGAGAGGUGUGGGGUACUCUCAGGGUAGGGGUAAAAUCCUGUCAUCCUGAGAGGACCACCUGUUGCGAAGGCGCCACACUAGAACGGAUUCGACGGUCAGGGACGAAACCUAGGGGCACGAACCGGAUUAGAUACCCGGGUAGUCCUAGGUGUAAACGCUGUGGACUUGAUGUUGGGGGCGCUCCGAGCGCUUUCAGUGUCGAAGCGAAGGUGAUAAGUCCACUGCCUGGGGAGUACGGUCGCAAGGCUGAAACUU
This 753-nucleotide ribosomal RNA is filed under the name uncultured Candidatus Poseidoniales archaeon. RNAcentral describes it as "bacterial SSU rRNA". It matches the Rfam family "Archaeal small subunit ribosomal RNA", at positions 102 to 857 of the family's 1478-position model. The record is from RNAcentral. Lineage: Archaea; Methanobacteriati; Thermoplasmatota; Candidatus Poseidoniia; Candidatus Poseidoniales.